RNAcentral lists this ribosomal RNA (424 nucleotides) under Verrucomicrobiota bacterium. RNAcentral's name for it is "Verrucomicrobia bacterium partial 16S ribosomal RNA". It matches the Rfam family "Bacterial small subunit ribosomal RNA", at positions 355 to 776 of the family's 1533-position model. The record is from RNAcentral. Lineage: Bacteria; Pseudomonadati; Verrucomicrobiota.
UGAGGAAUAUUGGUCAAUGGGCGAGAGCCUGAACCAGCCAAGUAGCGUGCAGGAUGACGGCCCUAUGGGUUGUAACCUGCUUUUAUAUGGGAAUACAUGGAGGGACGUGUCCCUUAUUGCACGUACCACACGAAUAAGGACCGGCCAAUCCCGUGCCAGCAGCCGCGGUAAUACGGAAGGUUCUGGCGUUUUCCGGAUUUAGUGGGUUUAAAGGGAGCGUAGGCUGUUUGUUAAGCGUGUUGUGAAAUGUAGGAGCUCAACUUUUAGAAUGCCUCGUGAACUGGGAGACUUGAGUGCACACAACGUAGGCGGAAUUCACGGUGUAGCGGGGAAAUGCUUAGAUAUCAUGAAGAACUCCGAUGGCGAAGGCAGGUUACGGGGGCGCAACUGACGCGAAAACUCGAAGGUGAGGGUAUCGAACGGG